RNAcentral lists this ribosomal RNA (523 nucleotides) under uncultured bacterium. RNAcentral describes it as "bacterial SSU rRNA". It matches the Rfam family "Bacterial small subunit ribosomal RNA", at positions 56 to 593 of the family's 1533-position model. The record is from RNAcentral.
UGCAAGUCGAACGGUAACAGCAGUACUUGUACUGGCUGACGAGUGGCGAACGGGUGAGUAAAGUAUAGUUAAUUUGCCUCUUAGAGAGGGAUAGCCAUUGGAAACGAUGAUUAAUACCUCAUACUCCUUAUGUAGUAAUAUAUAUAAGGGAAAUGCUUUAGUGCUAAGAGAUAAGACUAUAUGGUAUCAGGUAGUUGGUGGGGUAAGAGCCUACCAAGCCAAUGACGCCUAGCUGGUCUGAGAGGAUGAUCAGCCACACUGGAACUGAGACACGGUCCAGACUCCUACGGGAGGCAGCAGUGGGGAAUAUUGCACAAUGGGGGGAACCCUGAUGCAGCAACGCCGCGUGGAGGAAGACGCAUUUCGGUGUGUAAACUCCUUUUAUAUAGGAAGAUAAUGACGGUACUAUAUGAAUAAGCACCGGCUAACUCCGUGCCAGCAGCCGCGGUAAUACGGGAGGGUGCAAGCGUUACUCGGAAAUCACUGGGCGUAAAGCGCAUGCAGGCGGGUUAAUAAGUUAGAA